RNAcentral lists this ribosomal RNA (1323 nucleotides) under Triticum aestivum (bread wheat). RNAcentral describes it as "partial small subunit ribosomal RNA". The record is from RNAcentral. Lineage: Eukaryota; Viridiplantae; Streptophyta; Magnoliopsida; Poales; Poaceae.
AUGGGAAAGGAAGGUCCUUGCUGCCAUUGCGGCGUCACGAGCACUCCACUUUGGCGAAAUGGGCCACCACAUAAGCCAGUGCUCUGCAAUGCAUGUGGCUCGAGAUGGAGAACAAAGGGUUCAUUGGAGAAUUACACACCAAUGCAUUCUCGUGAUGAUAUCGAUGCUGAUCAACCUAGAGUUAGCAAGCUGAAGCCGCCGACAUUGAGACUAAAGGAACAGCGGCAGCUCAAGAAAAAGCCAAGCCACAGCAUAAGGGAGAAUGGAGCAUUUUCUGAUCAGAACUUCUGGAAGAUGGGGGAUGCCGACCCAAGUCGAUCUAGUUCUGGAUCAGCACUAUCAUAUUCAGAGAGUUGUGCUCCAUAUGGUUCUGCUGAUGCUAGUGAAAUGGGGUCAGCGCAAUCGCAUGCUUGGGAGUCAUUGGUACCAUCAAAAAAGAGAAGCUGUGUCACUCGGACCAAGUCUUCAUCCGUGGAUAUGCUUGUCAAAGAUCUUCAUUGUAUAAUGCAUGAAGAGCAGUUAUGUUACCUUUCUGGAUCCUCGGAGGAAGAUCUAAUUUACCACACUGCAACUCCUGUGGGUUCCUUUGAGAUUGGCUAUGGAAGCAUGCUUCUGAGAAGUUCAAACUCAAAAUCAGCGGAGGAAGAUUCAGAAGCAAACUCUGUUCCUGCAGAUAAUAAAUCAUUCCUUACAAGUGAAUCCUACUCAGGGACUGCUUCGUUUGUUGUGCAUAGUGAAAGCAAGGGAGCAAGUAAUUCAAAUGCUUCACCUGAGAAGCCAAAGUGGUUUCCGGUGCAGACACAUGAAAUUGUUAAAAGGGGUAAACUUCAUUACUCAAAGCAGCAUACCCUGGAAAAUGUAGGUUCAGCUUUAGUUUCAGUAGCUUUAGAGGGAGAAGGCACUAAGGAAACAGGAGGAAAUGAAAAUACCAGUGCUUUGAAAGACCUUACCAAAUCCACCAUGAAGCCUCUCAAAAGGCCUCAUGAAAGCCAGUUGCAAAGCUGCCAAGAAGGAACCAUGAGGAUUGCCAAAAAAGUUUGCAAAUCUGUGGCUAUGGCUCCUCAGUUCAAAGGUUCAUUUUUGCCCAAAUCUGGAGGAGCACCAUUUAACUUACUCAUGUUACCCCCAGAUAAAAUAUCCAUGCUUGCCCCUCCGCAGUACAUGGAUAAUUCUGAUCAAGACUUGCUGCUGGAGGUUCCUCUCAAUGCGCGGCAACCAGAGGCAGAACUUCUUUGCCAACCAUUUCAACUUAGCUCAGUAACCCGCAGCUCCUCCUCAGCGGACGUGGUUGCUGAUGGCGAGGGGCGCCUCAAGCAACCGUAG